AACGGCUCACCAGGGCAACAAUCUAUAGCUGGUCUGAGAGGACGAUCAGUCACACUGGAACUGAGACACGGUCCAGACUCCUACGGGAGGCAGCAGUGGGGAAUCUUCCACAAUGGGCGAAAGCCUGAUGGAGCAACGCCGCGUGAGUGAAGAAGGUCUUAGGAUUGUAAAGCUCUGUCCUUAGGGAAGAACCGUGGGUAUAGUUAAUGAUACCCACCUGACGGUACCUUUGGAGGAAGCACUGGCUAACUACGUGCCAGCAGCCGCGGUAAUACGUAGAGUGCAAGCGUUGUCCGGAAUUAUUGGGCGUAAAGGGUACGCAGGCGGAUAAUCAAGUCAAGCGUGAAAGGUGUCGGCUUAACCGACAGACUGCGUUUGAAACUGAUUACUUGAGUGUAACAGAGGAGAGUGGAAUUCCUAGUGUAGUGGUGAAAUACGUAGAUAUUAGGAAGAACACCAGUGGCGAAGGCGACUCUCUGGGUUAACACUGACGCUGAGGUACGAAAGCUGGGGGAGCGAACGGGAUUAGAUACCCCGGU
RNAcentral lists this ribosomal RNA (539 nucleotides) under uncultured Halanaerobium sp. RNAcentral's name for it is "bacterial SSU rRNA". It matches the Rfam family "Bacterial small subunit ribosomal RNA", at positions 259 to 791 of the family's 1533-position model. The record is from RNAcentral. Lineage: Bacteria; Bacillati; Bacillota; Clostridia; Halanaerobiales; Halanaerobiaceae.